This 4968-nucleotide long non-coding RNA is filed under the name Homo sapiens (human). RNAcentral describes it as "HSALNT0364510". The record is from RNAcentral. Lineage: Eukaryota; Metazoa; Chordata; Mammalia; Primates; Hominidae.
GCACUUUGAAUUUUUCCAUCCUGGAAAACCUAAAUAAUUUUUGUUGAAAAAUAGGCAAAUGGUCUGAGAUGCCUGACAUCCAGGCAUUCUUUUACACAUCAGUCCCUUCCUAGUCUCUGUGCCCAGUGCACCUCAUCCCAAAUCUUCUUUCUUUCCCUCCCGCCUGUCCCCUCAGUACCAACCCCAAGCGUGGCUGAGUCUUUCUAAUCUUCUUUUCUACAGACCCAUCUGACCUCUCCCCUCCUCCCCAGGCUGCUCCUCGCCAGGCCAAGCUAGGUCCCAAUUCUUCCUCAGCCUCUGCUACUCCACCCUAUAAUCUUUUUAUCACCUGCCCUCCUGACACCUGGUCCGGCUUACAGUUUAGUUCCGUGACUAGCCCUCCCCCACCUGCCCAGCAAUUUACUCUUAAAAAGGUGGCUGGAGCCAAAGGCAUAGUCAAAGUUAAUGCUCCUUUUUCUUUAUCCCAAAUCAGAAGCGUUUAGGCUCUUUUUCAUCAAAUAUAAAAAUCCAGCCCAGUUCAUGGCUCGUUUGGCAGCAACCCUGAGAUGCUUUACAGCCCUAGACCCUAAAAGGUCAAAAGGCCGUCUUAUUCUCAAUAUACAUUUUAUUACCCAAUCUGCUCCCGACAUUAAAUAAAACUCCAAAAAUUUGAAUCUAGCCCUCAAACCCCACAACAGGACUUAAUUAACCUCACCUUCAAGGUGUACAAUAACAGAAAAAAGUUGCAAUUCCUUGCCUCCACUGUGAGACAAACCCCAGCCACAUCUCCAGCACACAAGAACUUCCAAAUGCCUGAACUGCAGCAGCCAGGUGUUUCUCCAGAACCUCCUCCCCCAGGAGCUUGCUACACGUGCCAGAAAUAUGGCCACUGGGCCAAGGAAUGCCGCAGCCCGGGAUUCCUCCUAAGCCGCGUCCCAUCUUUGUGGGACCCCACUGAAAAUCGGACUGUUCAACUCACCUGGCAGCCACUCCCAGAGCCCCUGGAACUCUGGCCCAAGGCUCUCUGACUGACUCCCUCCCAGAUCUUCUCGGCUUAGCAGCUGAAGACUGACACUGCCCGAUCACCUUGGAAGCCCCCUAGACCAUCAUGGAUGCCGAGCUUCAGGUAACUCUCACAGUGGAAGGUAAGCCCAUCCCCUUCUUAAUCAAUAUGGAGGCUACCCACUCCACAUUACCUUCUUUUCAAGGGCCUGCUUCCCUUGCCUCCAUAACUGUUGUGGAUAUUGACGGCCAGGCUUCUAAACCUCUUAAAACUCCCCAACUCUGGUGCCAACUUAGACAAUACUCUUUUAAGCACUCCUUUUUAGUUAUCCCCACCUGCCCAGUUCCCUUAUUAGGCUGAGACACUUUAACUAAAUUAUCUGCUUCCCUGACUAUUCCUGGACUACAGCUAUAUCUCAUUGCCGCCCUUCUUCCCAAUCCAAAGCCUCCUUUGCGUCCUCCUCUUGUAUUCCCCCACCUUAACCCACAAGUAUAAGAUACCUCUACUCCCUCCUUGGCGACCGAUCAUGCACCCCUUACCAUCUCAGUAAAACCUAAUCACCCUUACCCCACUCAACGCCAAUAUCCCAUCCCGCAGCACGCUUUAAAAAGAUUAAAGCCUGUUAUCACUCGCCUGCUACAGCAUGGCCUUUUAAAGCCUAUAAACUCUCCUUACAAUUCCCCCAUUUUACCUGUCCUAAAACCAGACAAGCCUUACAAGUUAGUUCAGGAUCUGUGCCUUAUCAACCAAAUUGUUUUGCCUAUCCACCCCAUGGUGCCAAACCCAUAUACUCUCCUAUCCUCAAUACCUCCCUCUACUACCCAUUAUUCUGUUCCAGAUCUCAAACAUGCUUUCUUUACUAUUCCUUUGCACCCUUUAUCCCAGCCUCUCUUCGCUUUUGCUUGGACUGACCCUGACACCCAUCAAGCUCAGCAAAUUACCUAGGCUGUACUACCACAAAGCUUCACAGACAGCUCCCAUUACUUCAAUCAAGCCCAAAUUUCUUCCUCAUCUGUUACCUAUAUCGGCAUAAUUCUCAUAAAAACACAUGCUCUCCUUGCCAAUCGUGUCCGACUGAUCUCUCAAACCCCAGCUCCUUCUACAAAACAACAACUCCUUUCCUUAAUAGGCAUGGUUAGCGUGGUCAGAAUUCUUACACAAGAGCCAGGACCACACUCUGUAGGCUUUCUGUCCAAACAACUUGACCUUACUGUUUUAGCCUAGCCCUCAUGUCUGCGUGCAGCGGCUGCCGCUGCUUUAAUACUUUUAGAGGCCCUCAAAAUCACAAACUAUGCUCAACUCACUCUCUACAGUUCUUAUAACUUCCAAAAUCUAUUUUCUUCCUCAUACCUGAUGCAUAUACUUUCUGCUCCCCAGCUCCUUCAGCUAUACUCACUCUUUUUUGAGUCUCCCACAAUUACCGUUGUUCCUGGCCCGGACUUCAGUCCGGCCUCCCACAUUAUUCCUGAUACCACGCCUGACCCCCACGACUGUAUCUCUCUGAUCCACCUGACAUUCACCCCAUUUCCCCAAAUUUCCUUCUUUCCUGUUCCUCACCCUCAUCAGGCUUGAUUUAUUGAUGGCAGUUCCACCAGGCCUAAUCGCCACAUACCAGCAAAGGCAGGUUAUACUAUAGUACAAGCCACUAGCCCGCCUCUUAGAACCUCUCAUUUCCUUUCUAUCAUGGAAAUCUAUCCUCAAGGAAAUAACUUCUCAGUGUUCCAUCUGCUGUUCUACUACUCCUCAGGGAUUAUUCAGGCCCCCUCCCUUCCCUACACAUCAAGCUCAAGGAUUUGCCCCACCCAGGACUGGCAAAUUAGCUUUACUCAACAUGCCCUGAGUCAGAUAACUAAAAUACCUCUUAGUCUAGGUAGAUGCUUUCACUGGAUAGGUAGAGGCCUUUCCUACAGGGUCUGAGAAGGCCACCGCAGUCAUUUCUUCCAUUCUGUCAGACAUAAUUCCUCAGUUUAGCCUUCCCACCUCAAUACAGUCUGAUAACAGAUGAGCCUAUUAGUCAAAUCAGCCAAGCAGUUUUUCAGGCUCUUAGUAUUCAGUGAAACCUUUAUAUCCCUUACAGUCCUCCAUCUUCAAGAAAAGUAGAAUGGACUAAAGGUCUUUUAAAAACACACCUCACCAAGCUCAGCCACCAACUUAAAAAGGACUGGACAAUACUUUUACCACUUUCCCUUCUCAGAAUUCAGGCCUGUCCUCUGAAUGCUACAGGGUACAGCCCAUUUAAGGUCCUGUAUAGAUGCUCCUUUUUAUUAGGCCCCAGUCUCAUUCCAGACACCAGACCAACUUAGACUGUGCCCCAAAAAACUUGUCAUCCCUACUAUCUUCUGUCUAGUCAUACUCCUAUUCACUGUUCUCAACUACUCAUACAUGCCCUGCUCUUGUUUACACUGCCGGUUUACACUGUUUUUCCAAGCCAUCACAGCUGAUAUCUCCUGGUGCUAUCCCCAAACUGCCACUCUUAACUCUUGAAGUAAAUAAAUAAUCUUUGCUGGCAGGACUAUGCUGAAUCUCCUUAGGCACUCUCUAAUCAGUUAUCCUGAGUCGUCCCAACUCUUAGACCUUUUAUACCUGUUUUUCUCCUUCUGUUAUUCCAUUUAGUUUCUCAAUUCAUCCAAAACCGUAUCCAGGCCAUCACGAAUCAUUCUAUAAGACAAAUGUUUCUUCUAACAUCCCCACAAUAUCACCCCUUACCACAAGACCUCCCUUCAGCUUAAUCUCUCCCACUCUAGGUUCCCAAGCUGCCCCUAAUCCCGCUUGAAGCAGCCCUGAGAAACAUCGCCCAUUCUCUCUCCAUACCGCCCCCCAAAAAUUUUCGCCGCCCCAACACUUCAACACUAUCUUGUUUUAUUUUUCUUAUUAAUAUAAGAAGGCAGGAAUGUCAGGCCUCUGAGCCCAAGCCAAGCCAUCGCAUCCCUUGUGACUUGCACCUAUACGCCCAGAUGGCCUGAAGUAACUGAAGAAUCACAAAAGAAGUGAAUAUGCCCUGCCCCACCUUAACUGAUGACAUUCCACCACAAAAGAAGUGUAAAUGGCUGGUCCUUGCCUUAACUGAUGACAUUACCUUGUGAAAGUCCUUUUCCUGGCUCAUCCUGGCUCAAAAAGCACCCCCACUGAGCACCUUGCGACCCCCACUCCUGCCUGCCAGAGAACAAACUCCCUUUGACUGUAAUUUUCCUUUACCUACCCAAAUCCUAUAAAACGGCCCCGCCCUUAUCUCCCUUCGCUGACUCUCUUUGCGGACUCAGCCCGCCUGCACCCAGGUGAAAUAAACAGCCAUGUUGCUCACACAAAGCCUGUUUGGUGGUCUCUUCACAUGGAUGUGCAUGAAAUCUAUGUAUCUACAUUUUUUAAUGUUUUGGUAUAAUCUGUUUUUUAAAAAAUUCAUAUGUAACAGAUGUAACAUAUUUUGAGGAUACAUGUGAUAUUUUGAUACAUUCAUAUAAUGUGUAAUAAUCAAAUCGUGAUAAUUGGGAUAUCCAUCACCUUAAACAUUUUUCUUUAUGCUGGAAAUGCUUAUUCUCUAUUACCUAUUUUAAAAUUUAAUAUAGAUUACUGUUUACUAUAGUAAUUCUAUUGAUCCAUUGUACACUAGAUCUUAUUCCUUUUAUCUAACUGUAUUUUCGUAUCCAUUAAUCAACCUCUCUUUAUCCUCUUCUCUCCCUUACCUUUCCUGGCCUGUGGUAACCACCAAUAUACUCCCCAUCUUCAUGAGAUCUACUUUCCUAGCUCCUGCAUAGGAAUGAGAACUGCUAUGUAUAUAUUUUAUGUCUCCCUGGAAUUCUAAACCUCAUAAGGAAAGAAGCUGUGCUGGGAAAGACAGGAAGGAAGCACAGAGAAAAGCAAAUGAACACAAACUGUUGGAGAGGAAAAGCCACUAUUGAAGAGGCUGCCAGGAAAUAUGAGAGACUUUCCCUACCCCGAUGCUAUGAUUUUUGUCCUAGUUUGAACUGUACCCAGAAAUAAAAUUGUCC